GAUGAACGCUGGCGGCGUGCCUAAUACAUGCAAGUCGAGCGAACAGACGCUGAGCUUGCUCCUCUCACGAUAGCCGCGGGCGUGUGUGUCACACGUGUAUAACCUCCCUGUAAGACUGGUAUCACUUCGGGAAACCGGAGCUAAUCCCGUAUAAUCUCUUGAACCGCGUGGUUCAAUGGUAAAAGACGGUUUUGCUGUCUCUUAUCGCUGGAUCCGGGCCGCAUUGGCUAGUUGGUAGGGUAACGGCUUACCAAGGCAACGAUGCGUAGCCGACGGGAGAGGGGGAUAGGCGGCACUGGAACGGGGACGGGGUCCAGGCUCCUAAGGGAGGCAGCAGUAGGGAAUCGUCCGCAAUGGGCGAGAGUCUGACGGAGCAGCGGCGCGUGAGUGAUGAAGGUCUUGGGAGCGUAAAACUCUGUUAUGAGGGAAGAACAAAUGUGUCAGGAACUAUGCACGUCUUGACGGUAACUAGUAAGAAAGCAACGGCUAACUACGUG
This 497-nucleotide ribosomal RNA is filed under the name uncultured bacterium. RNAcentral describes it as "partial 16S ribosomal RNA". It matches the Rfam family "Bacterial small subunit ribosomal RNA", at positions 28 to 507 of the family's 1533-position model. The record is from RNAcentral.